Molecule: long non-coding RNA, 455 nt
Filed under: Brassica napus (rape)
Lineage: Eukaryota; Viridiplantae; Streptophyta; Magnoliopsida; Brassicales; Brassicaceae
Description: long non-coding RNA (BNAP_LNC023088)
Source: RNAcentral
CUUCAAGCUCUGAAAGGAAUAGAAGAAAACAGAGGAGCGUGUGAUAGACCACGACGAGCUCGGUCUCUUUAUGCUCAUCUCGUGAUCAUCAACACCAUCAACGCGCAUCCCCGAGCUUGACGUUGUCAAGAUCACGUCUUAGCCUCUUCGUUGGAUUCAGAUCACGUUAUCUUGGCAUUGAUUGGAGCUCCAGACUUGUUCUCAACAAAGUUCAAUACUUUAUCUCAGCAACAAAGGCUUGUUGAUCAAAAAAAAAUAUUUUGGGUCGGGUGUGAGUUGAGAGCUUGUAAAAAAGUUUCCCGGGUUGAUAAUAAAAGAUCUAUAGCAGGUCCGGAGACGUAGGCAAGAUUGGCCGAACUCCGUUAACAAUUGUGUGUGUGUUUUCCCGCUCCCAUAAAUUCUGGUUUACCGCAAAAUUUGACCGCAUAUUUCCUAACAACUGGUAUCAGAGCCUG